GGAGAUUUAGCUCAGUGGUAGAGCGCUUGCCUAGCAAGCACAAGGCCCUGGGUUCGGUCCCCAGAUCUG
This 69-nucleotide transfer RNA is filed under the name Rattus norvegicus (Norway rat). It matches the Rfam family "tRNA". From Rfam's summary of the family: Transfer RNA (tRNA) molecules are approximately 80 nucleotides in length. The record is from Rfam by way of RNAcentral. Lineage: Eukaryota; Metazoa; Chordata; Mammalia; Rodentia; Muridae.